AGGGACUUCUCCAAAUACCAUUUCUGACCUUCAUUUAGGUCGAGUUCAAAUUUUAGGCUACUGCUGCUUUACUCGCCGGUUUUGUUGUGCAUCACAAGGAGGGGCUCUUUUCCUCCGCUUAUUCCUACUCCCUGUAUAUCAAUAAGCGGAGGAAAAGAAACCAACAGGGAUUGCUCUAGUAACGGCGAGUGAAGCAGCAAUAGCUCAAAUUUGAAAUCUACCUAUUGAGGUCGAGAUGUAAUUUGUAGAGGUCGCUUAAGGUAUAGCCCCUCCUAAGUCCCUUGGAAUAGGGCGCCAAAGAGGGUGAGAGCCCCGUAUAGGAGGAAGCUAAGCCCGCCUAAAGCCCCUUCGACGAGUCGAGUAGUUUGGGAAUGCUGCUCUAAAUUGGAGGUAAAUUCCUUCUAAAGCUCAAUAUUUGCUAGAGACCGAUAGCGCACAAGUAGAGUGAUCGAAAGAUGAAAAGUACUUUGAAAAGAGAGUUAAAAAGCACGUGAAAUUGUUAAAGGGGAAGCGCCCGUAACUAGAACCGCACUAGGCUAAUUUCCUACCGUUCUCGGUAGUAUACUUAGCCUAGCCUAGGCCAGCGUUAGUUUAUAUAGGGAGAAAAAAGCCAUAGGAAAGUAGCUCCUACGGGAAGGUGUUAUAGCCUAGGGCACAAUACCAACUAUAAAGAACUAAGGAGUGCGUUUCUACAAGGACGUUGUGAUAAUAGUUAUUAUCGACCCGUCGUCUUGACAUUGAGAACAUUGCCAGAGGACUGAAGCCUCACGAAGAGAUUCGUAUUAUCUGUAAUAUGAACAAAGCAAAUGUACUUUGUUACGCUGUCGUUAGAACUUCUUCUCAUAGCCUUGUCUACUCUAAAAUAAGAUGCGG
Molecule: ribosomal RNA, 873 nt
Filed under: Phyllachora sp.
Lineage: Eukaryota; Fungi; Ascomycota; Sordariomycetes; Phyllachorales; Phyllachoraceae
Description: partial 28S ribosomal RNA
Rfam family: Eukaryotic large subunit ribosomal RNA (bases 109-873)
Source: RNAcentral